AUACGGAGGAUGCAAGCGUUAUCCGGAUUUAUUGGGUUUAAAGGGUGCGUAGGCGGUUUGCUAAGCGGGAGGUGAAAUGCCGGCGCUCAACGUCGGAAGUGCCUCCCGAACUGGUGGACUUGAAUGACUCUGCCGUGGGAGGAAUGUGUAGUGUAGCGGUGAAAUGCUUAGAGAUUACACAGAACACCGAUUGCGAAGGCAUCUCACGAAGGGUUGAUUGACGCUGAGGCACGAAAGCGUGGGGAUCAAACAGGAUUAGAUACCCUGGUAGUCCACGCUGUAAACGAUGAUUACUGGUUGUUAGCGAUAUAUAGCUAGUGACUGAGCGAAAGCAUUAAGUAAUCCACCUGGGGAGUACGUUCGCAAGAAUGAAACUCAAAGGAAUUGACGGGG
RNAcentral lists this ribosomal RNA (393 nucleotides) under uncultured bacterium. RNAcentral's name for it is "partial 16S ribosomal RNA". It matches the Rfam family "Bacterial small subunit ribosomal RNA", at positions 523 to 918 of the family's 1533-position model. The record is from RNAcentral.